GACGAACGCUGGCGGCGUGCUUAACACAUGCAAGUCGAACGGAAAGGCCCUGCUUUUGUGGGGUGCUCGAGUGGCGAACGGGUGAGUAACACGUGAGUAACCUGCCCUUGACUGUGGGAUAACUUCAGGAAACUGGGGCUAAUACCGGAUAGGAGCUCCUGCUGCAUGGUGGGGGUUGGAAAGUUUCGGCGGUUGGGGAUUGACUCGCGGCUUAUCAGCUGGUUGGUGGGGUAGUGGCGUACCAAGGCUUUGACGGGUAGCCGGCCUGAGAGGGUGAACGGCGACCUUGGGACUGAGGUACGCCCCAGUCUCCUACCGGAGGCAGCAGUCGGGAAUCUUGCACAAUGGGCCGAAGCCUGUUGCAGCAACGCCGCGUGCGGGAUGACGGCCUUCGGGUUGUAAACCGCUUUCGCCUGUGCCGAAGCGUGAGUGACGGUAAUGGGUAAAGAAGCACCGGCUAACUACGUG
RNAcentral lists this ribosomal RNA (468 nucleotides) under uncultured bacterium. RNAcentral's name for it is "partial 16S ribosomal RNA". It matches the Rfam family "Bacterial small subunit ribosomal RNA", at positions 28 to 507 of the family's 1533-position model. The record is from RNAcentral.